UACAGAGGUCCCAAGCGUUGUUCGGAUUCACUGGGCGUAAAGGGUGCGUAGGUGGCGAAGUAAGUCGGAUGUGAAAUCUCCGAGCUCAACUCGGAAAUGGCAUUGGAAACUACUUUGCUCGAGGGUCGGAGGGGGGACUGGAAUUCUCGGUGUAGCAGUGAAAUGCGCAGAUAUCAGGAGGAACACCAGCGGCGAAGGCGGCGCUCUGGGCCGGUACUGACACUGAGGAGCGAAAGCGUGGGUAGCAAACAGG
This 253-nucleotide ribosomal RNA is filed under the name uncultured bacterium. RNAcentral's name for it is "partial 16S ribosomal RNA". It matches the Rfam family "Bacterial small subunit ribosomal RNA", at positions 524 to 776 of the family's 1533-position model. The record is from RNAcentral.